Molecule: long non-coding RNA, 1410 nt
Organism: Panicum hallii
Lineage: Eukaryota; Viridiplantae; Streptophyta; Magnoliopsida; Poales; Poaceae
Exons: 3
Source: RefSeq, a predicted model, not a curated record
GAGCCCGUGCCGCGGGGGCGCCAUGCACGCAGCGGCGUAGCCGACCCACGCUCCCCGCCGGCAACCCACGCUCCCGGCCUCGCCGCGCCGCGUGCCACCACACUGCCCGCCGCCGGCCGCGCCGCUAUAAAUCCCGCGCCACACGCGGCCACUCCCUCUCCGUGCAAAAUCCCAGACACCAGCAGCACCACAACUAGCCAGCAAUAGCACACCGCAUCCGCAGCUCCCAUCAGCAAUAGUACUAGCUAGCAGCUUCUCCCACCUCGAGCAAGCAGCAAGAGCUUGCUGCCCGGCGUUAACUAAUUUGACACUAGCAGCUUGCAAUUCGCUUGCACAGACACGCACACUUAACGCUGCCAUGGCACCAGUGUCGACCAGCUACCUCGUCCAAGGUGGCAGCAUUGCUUCCUCCUGGGGAGCCGUUUACGCCGCGCCUUGCGAUGGGCGGCGCAGCGAGCGAGGAAGGAUGGCGGAGACGGACAGCGACGAUGACGAUGACGACUAUGACUGCGCUCCGGCAGCCUGAGGAGCCACCGUUCUGACGAAACUGGUGUGUGACAUCACAUACUGCGCGAAGUGGCCAAGAGCUUGUAGGCUUGUAGCUGUACUACUACUGCCGGAAUAGAGCGCCGCCGCCGCCGCAUGCUAAUAAUAAUCCGAUUGGUUUAGGUAUUUAGGUGUUUACGGCUUCUUAUAUAUAUGUACUCUCGCUUAGCUUACGAUCGAGGCAGUUAAGUGUGGUUUUUGUCCCAGGACUAAGCUAGAGUUCAUGCAGGCUAGCUUACUGUGUAAUCAAUAAAACACAUCGAGUUAGAUUAGAUCUGUACUUCUGAUCUGAUGAUGAAAUAAACUGAAAUUUUCCUUAAUGCAUGUGUGUACUUCGGGCACCUACUUUUUACUGCUUAACCUGCGUGCUACACUUUUGUUUGCUGAUCAGUGAUGCUCGUGCUAUUUCGAACUGGAUUGCAUGUUGCCUAUCUCAUGGUUUGUUGUAGUUUGGUCAUUGCAUGCAUGCAUGUAUGGAGUGUCCACACGACUCCGAGAGAGCUGAGAGGCGUCCUGAUCCGACCUCUUGGGCAAGCCAAUUUCUUCUCGAUCUGAACAAUGAAUACUGAUAACGGAUAUCUUAGCAUACUAAGCAUGGAAUUGAAGUAUCAGGGGUUACAGUUGCUCAGGUUUAUUAUGAGGCUUAUGAGGCUACUCCAAUGGAUUACAUGGAGAACAUAGAUGAUAAUAUGGCGGACACCAAGAAUGUUGCCCAAGUUGAGUAGGUUUAUGCUCUCAAUACUCAAGGUUAUAUGAAAAGUACUUCAACCCAUAAGGUUUCGGGGGUGCAUAAUAGUAUAAUACAUAUGAUUGGACUAUCAAGUCUACUUUUCGAUGCAACAAACGGAAUGUCAUUUUGGACUU